Molecule: ribosomal RNA, 2870 nt
Filed under: Burkholderia contaminans
Lineage: Bacteria; Pseudomonadati; Pseudomonadota; Betaproteobacteria; Burkholderiales; Burkholderiaceae
Description: bacterial LSU rRNA
Rfam family: Bacterial large subunit ribosomal RNA
Source: RNAcentral
ACAAGUGCAUGUGGUGGAUGCCUUGGCGAUCACAGGCGAUGAAGGACGCGGUAGCCUGCGAAAAGCUACGGGGAGCUGGCAAACAAGCUUUGAUCCGUAGAUGUCCGAAUGGGGAAACCCACUCCUUUUGGAGUAUCCAUGGCUGAAUACAUAGGCCAUGUGAAGCGAACGCGGUGAACUGAAACAUCUAAGUAACCGCAGGAAAAGAAAUCAACCGAGAUUCCCAAAGUAGUGGCGAGCGAAAUGGGAUGAGCCUUGCACUCUUUAUUUGUAUUGUUAGCCGAACGCUCUGGAAAGUGCGGCCAUAGCAGGUGAUAGCCCUGUAGGCGAAAACAGUAUGAAAGAACUAGGUGUGCGACAAGUAGGGCGGGACACGUGAAAUCCUGUCUGAAGAUGGGGGGACCAUCCUCCAAGGCUAAAUACUCGUGAUCGACCGAUAGUGAACCAGUACCGUGAGGGAAAGGCGAAAAGAACCCCGGGAGGGGAGUGAAAUAGAUCCUGAAACCGCAUGCAUACAAACAGUCGGAGCCUCGUAAGGGGUGACGGCGUACCUUUUGUAUAAUGGGUCAGCGACUUACGUUCAGUAGCAAGCUUAACCGUAUAGGGCAGGCGUAGCGAAAGCGAGUCCGAAUAGGGCGUUCAGUUGCUGGGCGUAGACCCGAAACCAGGUGAUCUAUCCAUGGCCAGGAUGAAGGUGCGGUAACACGUACUGGAGGUCCGAACCCACUAACGUUGAAAAGUUAGGGGAUGAGCUGUGGAUAGGGGUGAAAGGCUAAACAAACCUGGAAAUAGCUGGUUCUCUCCGAAAACUAUUUAGGUAGUGCCUCGUGUCUCACCUUCGGGGGUAGAGCACUGUCAUGGUUGGGGGGUCUAUUGCAGAUUACCCCGCCAUAGCAAACUCCGAAUACCGAAGAGUGCAAUCACGGGAGACAGACAUCGGGUGCUAACGUCCGGUGUCAAGAGGGAAACAACCCAGACCGCCAGCUAAGGUCCCCAAAUAUAGCUAAGUGGGAAACGAAGUGGGAAGGCUAAAACAGUCAGGAGGUUGGCUUAGAAGCAGCCACCCUUUAAAGAAAGCGUAAUAGCUCACUGAUCGAGUCGUCCUGCGCGGAAGAUGUAACGGGGCUAAGCUAUAUACCGAAGCUGCGGAUGCGUGCUUUGCACGCAUGGUAGGAGAGCGUUCCGUAAGCCUGCGAAGGUGCCUUGUAAAGGGUGCUGGAGGUAUCGGAAGUGCGAAUGCUGACAUGAGUAGCGAUAAAGGGGGUGAAAGGCCCCCUCGCCGUAAGCCCAAGGUUUCCUACGCAACGUUCAUCGGCGUAGGGUGAGUCGGCCCCUAAGGCGAGGCAGAAAUGCGUAGCUGAUGGGAAGCAGGUCAAUAUUCCUGCACCAUUGUUAGAUGCGAUGGGGGGACGGAUCGCGGAAGGUUGUCCGGGUGUUGGAAGUCCCGGUCGCUGCAUUGGAGAAGGCGCUUAGGCAAAUCCGGGCGCGGAAUUCAAGGGUGUGGCGCGAGCUCCUUAGGGAGCGAAGCAAUUGGAAGUGGUUCCAAGAAAAGCCUCUAAGCUUCAGUCUAAUGAUGACCGUACCGCAAACCGACACAGGUGGGCGAGAUGAGUAUUCUAAGGCGCUUGAGAGAACUCGGGAGAAGGAACUCGGCAAAUUGGUACCGUAACUUCGGGAUAAGGUACGCCCUUGUAGCUUGACUGGCUUGCGCCAGAAGGGUGAAGGGGUUGCAAUAAACUGGUGGCUGCGACUGUUUAAUAAAAACACAGCACUCUGCAAACACGAAAGUGGACGUAUAGGGUGUGACGCCUGCCCGGUGCCGGAAGAUUAAAUGAUGGGGUGCAAGCUCUUGAUUGAAGUCCCGGUAAACGGCGGCCGUAACUAUAACGGUCCUAAGGUAGCGAAAUUCCUUGUCGGGUAAGUUCCGACCUGCACGAAUGGCGUAACGAUGGCCACACUGUCUCCUCCCGAGACUCAGCGAAGUUGAAGUGUUUGUGAUGAUGCAAUCUACCCGCGGCUAGACGGAAAGACCCCAUGAACCUUUACUGUAGCUUUGCAUUGGACUUUGAACCGAUCUGUGUAGGAUAGGUGGGAGGCUAUGAAACCGGAACGCUAGUUUCGGUGGAGCCGUCCUUGAAAUACCACCCUGGUUUGUUUGAGGUUCUAACCUUGGCCCGUGAUCCGGGUCGGGGACAGUGCAUGGUAGGCAGUUUGACUGGGGCGGUCUCCUCCCAAAGCGUAACGGAGGAGUACGAAGGUACGCUAGGUACGGUCGGAAAUCGUGCUGAUAGUGCAAUGGCAUAAGCGUGCUUAACUGCGAGACCGACAAGUCGAGCAGGUGCGAAAGCAGGUCAUAGUGAUCCGGUGGUUCUGUAUGGAAGGGCCAUCGCUCAACGGAUAAAAGGUACUCUGGGGAUAACAGGCUGAUACCGCCCAAGAGUUCAUAUCGACGGCGGUGUUUGGCACCUCGAUGUCGGCUCAUCUCAUCCUGGGGCUGUAGCCGGUCCCAAGGGUAUGGCUGUUCGCCAUUUAAAGAGGUACGUGAGCUGGGUUUAAAACGUCGUGAGACAGUUUGGUCCCUAUCUGCCGUGGGCGUUGGAUAUUUGAAGGGGGCUGCUCCUAGUACGAGAGGACCGGAGUGGACGAACCUCUGGUGUACCGGUUGUCACGCCAGUGGCAUCGCCGGGUAGCUAUGUUCGGAAGAGAUAACCGCUGAAAGCAUCUAAGCGGGAAACUCGCCUUAAGAUGAGAUAUCCCUGGGGACUAGAUCCCCUUGAAGGGUCGUUCGAGACCAGGACGUUGAUAGGUCAGGUGUGUAAGCGCAGUAAUGCGUUCAGCUAACUGAUACUAAUUGCCCGUAAGGCUUGAUC